This 372-nucleotide ribosomal RNA is filed under the name uncultured organism. RNAcentral's name for it is "bacterial SSU rRNA". It matches the Rfam family "Bacterial small subunit ribosomal RNA", at positions 526 to 896 of the family's 1533-position model. The record is from RNAcentral.
CGGGGGGGGUAAGCGUUGUUCGGAAUUACUGGGCGUAAAGGGUUUGUAGGUGGCUUGCUAAGUCAGACGUGAAAUCCCUCAGCUUAACUGGGGAACUGCGUCUGAUACUGGCGAGCUUGAGUGCAGGAGAGGAACGCGGAAUUCCAGGUGUAGCGGUGAAAUGCGUAGAUAUCUGGAGGAACACCGGUGGCGAAGGCGGCGUUCUGGACUGCAACUGACACUGAAAAACGAAAGCCAGGGGAGCAAACGGGAUUAGAUACCCCGGUAGUCCUGGCCCUAAACGAUGAAUGCUUGGUGUGGCGGGUAUCGAUCCCUGCCGUGCCGAAGUUAACGCGUUAAGCAUUCCGCCUGGGGAGUACGGUCGCAAGGCUG